AGUAGCCGCGGGAAUACAGAGGGUGCGAGCGUUAAUCGGAUUUACUGGGCGUAAAGCGUGCGUAGGCGGCUUUUUAAGUCGGAUGUGAAAUCCCUGAGCUUAACUUAGGAAUUGCAUUCGAUACUGGGAAGCUAGAGUAUGGGAGAGGAUGGUAGAAUUCCAGGUGUAGCGGUGAAAUGCGUAGAGAUCUGGAGGAAUACCGAUGGCGAAGGCAGCCAUCUGGCCUAAUACUGACGCUGAGGUACGAAAGCAUGGGGAGCAAACAGGAUUAGAUACCCUGUAGUCCCUGUCUCUUAUACAC
RNAcentral lists this ribosomal RNA (301 nucleotides) under uncultured bacterium. RNAcentral's name for it is "partial 16S ribosomal RNA". It matches the Rfam family "Bacterial small subunit ribosomal RNA", at positions 510 to 809 of the family's 1533-position model. The record is from RNAcentral.